RNAcentral lists this transfer RNA (99 nucleotides) under Caudoviricetes sp. RNAcentral describes it as "tRNA-Ile". It matches the Rfam family "tRNA". Rfam says of the family: Transfer RNA (tRNA) molecules are approximately 80 nucleotides in length. Their secondary structure includes four short double-helical elements and three loops (D, anti-codon, and T loops). The record is from RNAcentral. Lineage: Duplodnaviria; Heunggongvirae; Uroviricota; Caudoviricetes.
GGAUGGAUUGCCAAUAUUGGAUUAGGGACGGAGCUUAUACCUCCGUAAGGCAAACACCAGAUAAGUGUUGUAAUGUGGGUUCGAUUCCCACUCCAUCCA